RNAcentral lists this ribosomal RNA (182 nucleotides) under uncultured bacterium. Its description in RNAcentral is "partial 16S ribosomal RNA". It matches the Rfam family "Bacterial small subunit ribosomal RNA", at positions 1319 to 1500 of the family's 1533-position model. The record is from RNAcentral.
CACGAAGUUGGAAUUGCUAGUAAUCGUGGAUCAGCAUGCCACGGUGAAUACGUUCCCGGGUCUUGUACACACCGCCCGUCACACCAUGGGAGUCGGUAACACCCGAAGUCAGUAGUCUAACCGCAAGGAGGACGCUGCCGAAGGUGGGAUUGACGACUGGGGUGAAGUCGUAACAAGGUACC